GACAACUCUCAACAACGGAUAUCUUGGCUCCCGUAACGAUGAAGAACGCAGCGAAAUGCGAUACGUAGUGUAAUUGCAGAAUUCCGUGAACCAUCGAAUCUUUGAACGCAAAUUGCGCUCGAGGCCUCGGCCUAGAGCAUGUCUGCCUCAGCGUCGGCU
This 159-nucleotide ribosomal RNA is filed under the name uncultured Trebouxia photobiont. RNAcentral's name for it is "5.8S ribosomal RNA". It matches the Rfam family "5.8S ribosomal RNA". Rfam says of the family: 5.8S ribosomal RNA (5.8S rRNA) is a component of the large subunit of the eukaryotic ribosome. It is transcribed by RNA polymerase I as part of the 45S precursor that also contains 18S and 28S rRNA. Lineage: Eukaryota; Viridiplantae; Chlorophyta; Trebouxiophyceae; Trebouxiales; Trebouxiaceae. The record is from RNAcentral.